GCCCAACUGCCAGUGGCCCUGGAGCCCUCAGCUCCCCAACUCCCGCAGGCCCCCCAACUGCCUGCUUCCGGACAGAUCAAGGGCCCAUUCCUGAGGGGGUACUCAGCACAGAACCACCGUGAAGGAACCCUGCCCAGAGUUCCCGGUGCCACCGCAGAGGCCCUGAGCUUUCCCCCUUGCUUCAGUGCAGCUCAGGACCCUGCGGCACCGCCCCUGCCCCACCUCCAGUGGGAGCACCUCGGCCUCAUCCGCAGACCUACCAGCCAGCGGCCCCCAGGAGGCAGGCUGAGGGGUGGGGAUGAGGAAGAGGGCGUGGCUGGUGCCCCGGGUGAGGGCAGGCACUUCCUGUCCUGUCGGCCAGGGUGGCUGCAGCGGCUGUCUUUCAUGCCUCUUCUUCCACCCAGCACCUCAACCCCAGGGCCCCAAAAGUCCCAGGCUGUCAGAAGUGGUCCAGGCGGGUGGCAGGGACGAUGCUGGAUUGAUUUAUUUCACACAUUCAGACCCGACACACUCAGACACUUUGGGGCCCUGUAAGGGCUAAGCAGAGGGCGCGGCGUCAGCUCAUGGGGAGGCCCCACUCCCUGGGAAGGAAAUACAGGACAGGAGGCCGCAUCCAGCGCCCCCCACGGAGGGACCAGUGUUGCUCUAACAGGGACACUGAGGUUGCCUCCAACGCCCUGUGAGAAAUGGCCCUGUGGUGACCAGAGACCCAGCCCAGCCAGGCAGGCAGGGAGCCUUCGAGGAACCCUCAGGUGGGCAGGUGGGGGUCUUCUCAGCCCCAGUGCCCACGAACCCUCCUAGCCACCUGGGCUAGGCCAGACGUCCUCCCAGGCCAGCAGGAGACUGACUCCUGCAUUUGCACUUGGUGGCUGGCAGGGGUGGGGCACGGAGGUGUACAACGCCUGCCCACUCCAGGGAAACGGAGGAGCCACGGCCGGGUCCCCACAUGCUAGCAGGCCUGCCUUCCCAGCCAGUUCCACAGGGCAGCGCCUCCAAGCUCUGAGGCUCGGGGACUAAGGCAGGGGUGGGCGUAGGCUCAGACUCCAAGUUCCAGGGGCCAGGGGACCGAGGCAGGGCUGGGGGUGGGCUCAGACUCCUAGUUCCAGGGGUAGGGGGACCCAGGCAGGGCUGGGCAUGGGGCUCAGGGCCUCUUGACACCGCAGCACGGGGCCUGUCACCCCAGUUCUCCGGGUCUGUGUCCUCAAGUCAGAUGCAGGCUGGGGAGUGCACGUCGGGAUCUCCCUGUGGCGGCGAUGCCGUGAGGCUGCUCUCAGGGCUGUCCCACCCUCUAAACCCUGGCGUGACAUGUCCACGGCUCAAGCUCAGGAACCACAGGCCGGCUCACAUCUGUAAGUCCGCUGGUGUGGAGGCAGGAGGAGCCCUUCUGCAGCAGGACGGCCCUCAGGACAGCAGCGGGGUUGAGGGCUCUGUCUCUUGCCCUGCUGCUGGCUCCCGAGCCUGAGAGCCUGGAAGGGGGCUACACAUACACAGCUGAUCCCUCGAGGCGAAGGAACCUAGGUGAUGAGGGUGGCAGCUGGGCCUGCGCAGAGAGGCGCCAAGGGUGGAGACCACAACAGGGUCAGUCCCUCCAGAGUCCGUCCCAGGCCUGCCGUCCCCGGCCCAGCUGCAGGGUGCACGCCAUUGCCGCUGCUGGGGAGCGUGGUUUGGGCCGAGAAAGCAGUGACUCUGAGAGGAGGUGUGGAGGGGGCCCACGGUGCCAGCUCUGGUGCCCACCAUGGGCGGGGCUGGGUCUCACGUCUGGGCCAGCGAGAGCUCCUCCAAGCCUCCCUUCCCCAGGCGGUACCUGGCAAGGUCCUUCCUGGUCACCAGUCCAACAACCUGCAGGACAAGGCCAGGCCACAGAGACCCAUGGGUCAGCCCCCGCCUGCCUAUGGAGGGCCCUGGGCAGCACAGCCGGGGAGCCCUGCGGGCUUCAGCACAGCCCAAGCUGAGCACGGGGCAUGGGCCGUGGUGCUGAGUCCGCGCCUCAGCGUCCCCGGCACGGAGAUGAGAUAAACAUGUGCAGCAGACAGAGGGCCCUGCGCAGCCCAGCGCGUCCCCGCCCCCGCUCACCUGAUUGCGGUUGUCCACCACCACCAGGUGCCGCAGGCCCAGGGCCCGGAACAGCUUGAACACACGCGGGAGCGACGCCUCCUGCAGCGGGACGCAGCAGUCAGCACCUGCCCACACGCCAGAGGCAGGCAGGACCUCCCCUGGCUCCCAGCACCCACUCCACAGUGUCUAGGCACGUCCUGGGCCCCCACACCCGUCUGGUCAGCCUGUUCGGCCCCGACUUUGGCUCUGCAACCCAAACCCUCAAUCCCUGCUGCUGCCCAGCGAUCCUGGAAGUCCUGCCAGGCCCCCUUCCCGGGAGACAGAGUCAUUGAGUCCUGGCCCCCUCUCGCCCUCCCCUGUGCCCCUGGCCACUCCUCCAGGAGGCUCUGGAUCACAUAGCCCACUGUUUGGCCCCGAGCCCAUGCCUCCACUCUGCACGUGCCUGGGGCACUGUGUAGGGGGAGGGGUUCAUGAACUCGGAGAGGUCCAUGGUGCACUCCCGCUCGUCCUGGGACACGUGGAUGGACUGGAUGGGCGGGAAGCGCGGGUAGGCGUCCCGGAAGUCCUUCAGCCUCAGGCGCCGCUGCACCAGGCCCAUGUUGGAGCGCUCCACAAACACCUGCGGGCGGCAGGUUCCCCGUCAGGCAGCUGCGCAGCAUCCCAGGGGCUCCUGCCUCCCGGCGUUCCAGAGCCUGGCAUGUACCUUGUGCUUGAGGAGGACGAUGAGCUGGGAGCGCAGGAUCAGGCCCUGGAGCCGGGCUGGCUGCAAGAGACGCCUGCUGUCAGAGCCACGGUGCCCGAGGCGGGGCCGUGCUGGGAUGCUGUGCUGGGCCCCAGCUCCGACCCUGCUCUAGCCCAGUGCCCCAUCUGGGUGUGUGUGCUGUGUCAAUGGCCACCUGCUCACACCAGCCUCACCGUGGCAUUCCAUGUGCACAAUGCCACAGGUUCCCAAGGAUGGGUGACAGGGCAGGAGGUCUGACUGCACAUAGCAGAAAGCCAGGGCCCAGGGAGGGGGGCUCUGCUGCAGGGUAGACGCAGCUCCAUUGUGCCCAAUAAAAACCAUCCCCAAACCCCUAGUGGCCAUGUCCAAGGGGCACACGGCAGUGGCCGAGCUGCGUGUUGUGUCAGGACCUCCUGACGAAGGCCUGGCCACGCCCAGCCCGGGUGCUGACCUCAAGGCCCUGACAGGCCACAACCCCACCCAGCCUCGGCACCCACACGGCCCUACAUGGCCCCACAGUGAGCCCCCAGCGCUCCUGGAACCGACAGUGCACCCGAAUGCGCUGCCUCCCCAUCCUGCCAACCUCCCCAUGUGCUUCCCACCGCUGGGCUGGACGGAGGUGUCGCGAGUGAGAUCCAGCCUGGGGGGCGCCCGGUACCUGGCUGUCGUCUGCAUGCUCCACCACAGGGAAGCCGUUGUGAUUGGACGCCGGGUCGCUCAGCACAUCCACAAUGACACCGACCUUCUCACGCCGCCUCAGGCAGGUCACCGGUGUGCUCAUCACCUCCCUGCCGGAGUAGCCCGGCCACACAGGCCCGUCAUGCGCCACCAACUCCCACGGUCACCCCCAGAGGCUGCUGCGGUGUGAAGCUGCUGGGUGGGAAACGCGGAGCCGCCUGGAGCCCGCGAGCCGCACAUCCCACCCCUGUGCAACAAGAGCCACUGGACACCCUCCCUGCCCACAGCUGCCACGUGCCAUACCUGGCAGUGAGCGAGUGCGAGGUGACCGGGGCCUCCCAGUGCAGGAAGGGCACGCUCUGCAGCUGAAUGUGCAUGUCGUACAGGCCCUGCAGGCGGACGGGACACGGGGCUGGAGGCCACGCCCACCCCUCGGGACAGGCUGUUUGGAGGCUGGGCGCUCAGAGGGCCCUCCCCCACGACCACCCCAACACUCUCAGGGUGAGGCUUUGAGCCCUGUGCACCUCGAUGAAGACGUCGCCCACAAUCUUGGCGGUCAUGAGCACCAGCAUGAUGGGGAAGCCGUAGGUCACGUUGCUGGUGGCCUCCAUCAUGAUGACCGUAAGGCUCAGCGUCAUCCGCACGAUCCCACCUGCGGGAGCACUCAUGAGCCCCGGCACGUCCACCCUCCCAGCUCAGGGGCACAUGGCCACCGCCUUUUCUGUACAGCCCACGGUCCGCCUGCCCCAGACCCGAGCCCUGCAAGGAUGGCCACAGCCCCCUCCUGACCCUGUGGAGCCAGCCCCCGCGCCCACCAGGCAAGAGCCAGGACCUACCCAGCUGGGCAGCAGCUCCCAUCAGGGCAUAUUUCCCGGGGUCCGCCCAGAUCUGCGGGAGGUGACAUGGAGGUGUCAAGGUGGUGGCAGGCCCCUUCCCAAACCCACCAAGAUACAGAGGAGGCCUGCCCCGGAACCUGACGCCCAGGAGCGAACCCCAUGGCGGCAGACACACGCACAGAACAACUGAGCACAGCACGGCCUGCUGGGGACACCGCGCCUUCUGCCUGUACCCGGCAUUCAGUGCCUGAGCGACAGGAAUGCAGGGUGCAAAGGGCAUAGCCACCCACACAGCAUGCCCACGCCGACUGGGGAGCACCACCCAGCCUGAGGAGCGGAACUCCAGCACACAGGACACAGAGGGCCCCGGGAACAUGAGGCUUGGUCACAGAACCCAUGCACGGAAGGCCACUCACGGUGACUCCCCCUAGAGGCAAUGUCGGGGGCAGGCAGAGCCAGAGUCUGGAGGACCCCAGUGGCUGCCGGGGCUAGGGGCCGGGGAAAUUGAGGCAUGAGUGCAUGUGGGCCCAGGGUUUCCGCUCUGGGAUGACAGAAAGUUCUAGAAGUGUUAGUGACAAUCAAACUACCUCAUGGAUGUGAGAAACGCUAAGAAAUUGUCCACUUUAAAAGGGUAAACCUCAUGGCAUGUGAAUCAUGUUUGUAUGUUAAAAAUCAAACCAAAUCAAGCCCUUGUGUAGAGGAAGACAAGCAGAGCACACGGGCAUGGGGAGCGGGAGGGGGGCUUCCAGUGUCAUUUAAAUGACUGAAAUGAGAAAUGGAGGACACGAAGGAACCCAGCCCCAGCGGAGGCAGGCGGAGGAGGCAGGCCUGUGGGCCGAGGGCUGGUAGGCAGCGAAUGCUGCUCUGGCCCCGGCCUCCCGGAGAGCAGCCCUGGUGGGGUGUCUGCCCCGUGGAGUCCAGCAGCACCUCUGCAGCAGCCCAGAGUCACCCCUGCUUUUCAUCACAUUCUCACGAAUGAGGAGAGGAGCCUCCGCCCCCAGGCUCGGCCGGGGUCAGACUACGCGGGAGCUGUGCCACCGCCGCAGUGAGCGUGCUUCCCCACAGUGGGGCAACUGCCACAGCCAGUGAACCACGCGAGGCGCAGCGCCCUGGGAGGCCGCAAGACCUGCACAUCUCACGGCAGGCCCCGCAGCCUCUCCAGCCCCACUCACCGCUGCCCCUGUGAGGUAUGACAGGGAGAUGCCAAACAGCCGGCCCCAGGCGGCCCCGAUGAGCAGGGAUGGGAUAAAGACCCCGGCAGACACUGUGAGCCCGUAGGUCCAGCAGGCCAGGAAGAAGUAGACCAGCGUGAACAGGCCGAGGGUCAGGGGGUUGUAGGAGCCUAGGGAAGAAGAGGGGCUGAUGGGGCCUUCACGGGACUCGCGCCCCAGGCAGGGGCCCCGCUGCCCAGCCUCAGGCCUCACAGUCACCUUCCAGGAGCCUAGCAAUCUGAACCCCAGGCCCCGCGGUUCCCAGAAGCCUCCCCGUUCUCAGCCUCCCGGGGAAGCAGGAAGGCUGGAGGCUCCCACAGGGCUCUGAUGCCGGCGGCAGCAGCAGGAGCCAGGUCCAGACUCCACAGGCGGGCACCACGGUGCAGCGUGCAGCCUGGCUCUGGGAAGAGGGCGCCCUCCACAGCCUGGAGGUCCCUUCCUGGGGCAGGCGGCAUUGUACUGGGUGUGGGUCAAGCGGGGCCACUGGAGGACGCAAUCGCAGAGGUAUAAAGCAGGCACUCCGAAGCCCUGGUCCGGCUUCCACGAAAAGCUGUGGUCGGGCCAGGCCAGACCUUGCACGGUUUGAGGGUUCGCGCUCUCUCAAACCAGGCUGGGUUUUCUUCUCUUUUUUUGAGAGAGGGUCUCACUCUGUCACCCAGGCUGGUGUGCAGUGGUGUAAUCACAACUCACUGUGGCCUCAACCUCCUGGGCUCAAGUGAUCCUCCCACCCCAGCCUCCUGAGUACCCAGGACUGUGGGCACACCUCUGUCCCAGAUAAUCUUGCUUUUUUGGUAAAGACAGGGUCUUGCUGUGCUGCCCAGGCUGGUCUUGACCUGGGCUCAAGCGAUCCUUCUGCCUUGGUCUCCCAAACUGCUGGGAUUACAGCAGCAAGCCCGUGCUAUAAUCCACGCUGGGGAUGAUCCCCCCGCCCAGGGCUGCAACCUCAGCCCACAGGGACACUCAGCCAGAAGGCAUGACCCAUGCCCUCAUCCAAGCACCUGCCCGGUGGCACUGCCAGCACACACCUGGCGGAUCGUGGAAGAGGCUCACUACACUCUUCUCCGGGGUGUUGAAGAAGGCCGCAGCCAUGGAGUUGUACUCGCCGUCCGCACAGAAGAGCUGUGAGGUCAGGAGAGAGCACGUUGGGAGGGAGACAGGCCGGAGGGCUCAGACAGACUUGGUGUCGCCAUGUGCACCGUGUAUGCUGCCUGGCCAGCAUCGCUGAGAGACCGUAUGACCCUGCCACUGGGUCAGGGCCAUAGCCACAGAGGGGAAGGAGGACAAGCGGCCCAGGCCCAGACCCAGACCCAGCAGGGGCUGCAGAGCCACGUCCAGCCCUGGGGUGGGUCAGUAGGCCCCUGGCCUGGGAAACCGUCCAUCCCUGGAGCCAGGGGAAGGUGGGCCCAGACGCUCCCAUCAGCUCCUAGAGGAGGCUGUCUCUGGGCUCCGGCAGCACUGGGGGUGCUGUCCACGGAUGGCAGCAGAGUACAGCAAGGCUGGUCAACCCCACAGCCUGGGCCUCCCACACUUCUGACUGUUCACGCCUGUCCUGUCAGCACCCACCACAUCUGGCCUGCCCCGGCCCUCACUGGUCUGCUGGGCCUGUGACUUCCCCUGUUCUGGGUGUUUCACGUUAACAGGGCUACACUAGGUGGCCUCCUGUGUGGCUCCUCUGAGCACCGUGUCUUCCAGGGCAACCGUGUCACCGUGUGGAAGGACACAUGGGCUACGGUAAGCCAUGAGCACCAGGCACAGGCUGGGGUAUGGAUGGAGAUUUGCAUUUCUCCUGGGUCCACAUCUGCGGGGCCCCGGGCUUCUGAGGCUCUUCCCGUCGGGCUGCCAUUCUGGGAAGAGGACUGGGAGAGCCUUUGGCCCCACACCACCGCCUGUUCCCGACACCUUGGCAGACACCUGGCCUGCUCUGACAUCUGGGCAGACGGCGCUAGCCCUCCCUGAGACAUGCCAGCCAGUGUGCGUCUAGAACUCCAUGCAGCGGGCAGCCCCCUCCCGAGGCCUCAGCAAGGCUUCUGAAGGCAGUCCUGCGGCUACUGCCCUGCCUGCUGGACCCCGCCCGGCCCGGGCCUCCUACCUGCAGGGGGUAGGACAUGGAGCUCCCCUGCAGGGGCUGGCAAUCCCGAGACGAGUAAAUCAGCACAAAAGCGACUGUGGCCGUGACUGCAGCCACCAGCAUGGCCUCGAUCACCUGCAGGCAGGGCCGGUGGAUGUACCUGGAACCAAGAGUCAGGCUGCACCACGGGCGAGACGGCGGCACGGCCCCUUGGCAUUUGCCAGGCAGCCUGCAUCCCAGAUUGAGGACACUGGGCCUGUGUUUCAGCAGCAGUCAGGCCGCCCAAUGUCCCUGGGGCAAGGACUCCCACAGCAACUCCUCCUGACGAGUGGGAGGCGGCCCUGCCAGUGCUCCCGCUGCGCCUAGCAGUACUGAAACUGGCACAGACCAAGGAGGAAUAAGCUAGGAGCUCCCGGAGUCCCAGGACGGCUCCAGCUGCUACCAGGGCAGAGCUGGGCAAAGGCCGGGGAUACCUCACCAGGCCCAAUCCUGCACCCAGAGCAGCCUCGCUCCCUCCCCAGGGGCCGUCCUCCAGGAGCCCUGGCUCUCCCAGCCUCAGGCUUGCCUAUGCCCUCCAGGGUCCAGGACACAUCUCUGAGCAGCUCAAGCAAUGAAGCCAACAGGGUGGGCACUGAGCACACAGCCUUUCUUCCAGACGUGGCCAAAGGGCAUAAACCCCACACCACGUCUUUUUUUUUUUUUUUGAGAGGGAGUCUCACUCUGUCACCCAGGCUGGAGUGCAGUGGCAUGGUCUCAGCUCACUCUAACCUUUGCUUCCCAUAUUCAAAUGAUUCUCCUGCCUCAGUCUCCCAAGUAGCUUGGAUUACACUUGCCCACCACCACUGGGAUGGUCUUGACCUCCUGACGUCAUGAUCCGGUCGCCUCGGCCUCCCAAAGUGCUGGGACUACAGGUGUGAGCCACCACGCCCUGCCUACUACAUCUGCUUUCAAAGGGCCUGUGUGGCCACGCCUGCCAGUGCGAUAUGCAAGGCGGUUUCUCCCUCACCUGAUCCGAAACAUGGUCAGCCAGUAGUUCAAGGCAUUGAACACAGCUCCGAGCACACCGCCUGCAGCCAGGGGAAAGCCCAGUCAGCUACGUGGGAGGGAAGGCGCAGGCCUCCACCGGCUCCCAGAGGGGAAAAGGUGCAGUAAACGCUGUUAGGACCAAUCCUGCCUCCUGGAAGAAAACCCGCCCGCCCUGAGCCCUGUGGCUUUGCCCACAGAGAAGAAAACAGGAAACCGGGAAGCAAAGCUCUUCGAGUGUGCGCUGCCCGUGGACGCAUCUGGAGGGAGCAGGCCCCUGGUGGCCCUGGGGUGGGGGCAGGCUCGAGGCUGUCGUGGCCUCUUGUCCUUGCCUCUCUGGCCGUGUCACGGCUGAGCUCGGCCCACAGGCCGGCCUGCAGCGCUGGGGGAGCCCUUACCUACCACGCCCAUGGCGAUGAAGACAGGAAUCUCGUGGAUGGUGUAGGCCAUUUUCUGUGGAGAGAGGGAGAAGGUGGAAGAGGGGAGGGAAAGGGCCCACAGCUCCUCUCUGCUGAAAGUCAGGACCACCAUCAUGAGAGCUGUCCCCACACGGAGCCUUCCCGCACUUCCAUGCAGGCCACAGAAGUCCACGGGACAGAAACACGCUGGGUGUUUGUAGCAGGCCUGGCCCUACAUGCCUCUGCCACUUCCUGCCACCCUGGGCACCUGGGGCGGGGAGCGCCCAAGCACUGGGAACACAGUCCGUGAGCCCUGGGUUUCCCACACACAGAGCCGUCCUGCAGUGCGUCCAGAACCUGCCCUGUCGACAGCACGGAGAGGCCGCAGCCCAGGCCCCAGGCUGCCCUGAAAACAAGGCCCGAGCCCACCGGCCCCCACAGCGGCUGCUGCACGUACCCCCAGGCUGCGGGAGGUCCCAAGCAUGCCACAGCUGUGUGACGUGUGCACAGGGCACCCGGACCCAAGAGGCAGCUUGGGGUGCCGUCCUGCAGCCCCUCAGGCCCUGGAGCUCACACAAGCGCUCAGCUCCACAGCGACCAGCCAGAGUUUCCAAAGGACCGAAUUCUCAGUCUGGCCUUAAGCAAACAGGGUCCUGGCCCAGGACUCAAGGGGGUGAGCCGGGCAGCUUACCUCCGAG
This is a non-coding RNA of Callithrix jacchus (white-tufted-ear marmoset), 9688 nucleotides long. The record is from RefSeq and is a predicted model, not a curated record. Lineage: Eukaryota; Metazoa; Chordata; Mammalia; Primates; Cebidae.